UUUAGGUUAUUUGGUUUUGUUAUUUGGGCUGAUUUUCGCACAGAUUUAAUGGAUGAUUCAAGGUGUUUACUGGUGUUUGAAAUGGUAGAGAAGAUGGCUGGUAUUCAUGGAGUUUCAGCCCGUUUUCAGGCCAUUUUUGGGUGGUUAUGGUUUGUUUUUCAGUUUGGUUUUCUUUCUGCCCGCUGUAUACCUCUGUAUUCCGAAUGUAUAUAGAGUGUAUACAGCACUCUCCCCAGUCCCCUUUUUUCUGUCUCCUCCCUAUUUU
RNAcentral lists this long non-coding RNA (265 nucleotides) under Nicotiana benthamiana. RNAcentral's name for it is "long non-coding RNA (NBEN_LNC041411)". The record is from RNAcentral. Lineage: Eukaryota; Viridiplantae; Streptophyta; Magnoliopsida; Solanales; Solanaceae.